This 489-nucleotide ribosomal RNA is filed under the name Triticum aestivum (bread wheat). Its description in RNAcentral is "partial small subunit ribosomal RNA". The record is from RNAcentral. Lineage: Eukaryota; Viridiplantae; Streptophyta; Magnoliopsida; Poales; Poaceae.
AUGCACGUCGUCCCGCCCCUGUGCGUUGACCACAGACAACGUUACGCCAGGUACAAACCACUCUCCUGCUUCGCCUACAGUAGCCCGCAGCCACGCUGGCAAGCUCCAAGGCCAUCCCCAAAGAAUGUACAUAUGCCAAGUUCGAGUACCCACGACGUGUGUUUUCUGCAACCAAGUACCACGACUACCGCCGGUGUGCAUUUUUUCAAGUCCGACUAUGACAAACGACUACAUGAUGGGACGCCAAGUACCACUACGUCGGAGUCCUCGGAUCCGUCAAGUUCCACUAUGAAACGUACAAAUACCGUCGACCCUGGAGACCUCGGUUUCAUCAAGUUCCCACGACGACUUAAGUGUACCCCUCGGAUACGUCAAGUGCGACUACACUACGAGACAAAGUACGCUAAGUACCUCUCCGAAAACGAACAUGUACUGCUAUGCCCGGAGGCAUCAGAUCCAUCAAGUCCAACAACGACUAUGCUCAACUAA